UACGUAGGUGGCAAGCGUUGUCCGGAUUUACUGGGCGUAAAGGAUGCGUAGGCGGAUAUUUAAGCCAGAUGUGAAAUACCCGAGCUUAACUUGGGUGCUGCAUUUGAAACUGGAUAUCUAGAGUGUGGGAGAGGAAAGUGGAAUUCCUAGUGUAGCGGUGAAAUGCGUAGAGAUUAGGAAGAACACCAGUGGCGAAGGCGACUUUCUGGACCAUAACUGACGCUGAGGCAUGAAAGCGUGGGGAGCAAACAGG
Molecule: ribosomal RNA, 253 nt
Filed under: uncultured bacterium
Lineage: Bacteria
Description: partial 16S ribosomal RNA
Rfam family: Bacterial small subunit ribosomal RNA
Source: RNAcentral